AACGAACGCUGGCGGCAGGCCUAACACAUGCAAGUCGAACGAGAUCUUCGGAUCUAGUGGCGGACGGGUGAGUAACGCGUGGGAACGUGCCCUUCUCUACGGAAUAGUCCUGGGAAACUGGGUUUAAUACCGUAUACGCCCUUCGGGGGAAAGAAUUUCGGGGAAGGAUCGGCCCGCGUUGGAUUAGGUAGUUGGUGGGGUAAUGGCCUACCAAGCCGACGAUCCAUAGCUGGUUUGAGAGGAUGAUCAGCCACACUGGGACUGAGACACGGCCCAGACUCCUACGGGAGGCAGCAGUGGGGAAUCUUAGACAAUGGGGGCAACCCUGAUCUAGCCAUGCCGCGUGAGUGACGAAGGCCCUAGGGUCGUAAAGCUCUUUCAGAUGUGAAGAUGAUGACCGUAGCAUCAAAAGAGCCCCGGCUAACUUCGUGCCAGCCGCCGCGGU
RNAcentral lists this ribosomal RNA (445 nucleotides) under uncultured bacterium. RNAcentral describes it as "bacterial SSU rRNA". It matches the Rfam family "Bacterial small subunit ribosomal RNA", at positions 29 to 521 of the family's 1533-position model. The record is from RNAcentral.